Seriola aureovittata is the source of this 1263-nucleotide long non-coding RNA. RefSeq lists it as uncharacterized. The transcript is spliced from 3 exons. NCBI's taxonomy places the organism in Eukaryota, Metazoa, Chordata, Actinopteri, Carangiformes, Carangidae. The record is from RefSeq and is a predicted model, not a curated record.
GCUGAAGUUAUCAAACAAGUGUAUAAAGUUGACGACUUAAAGUGAUGAAUUUCACCACCGUGACCACAGAAUUUGAAGCUCGGCGAUUGGCCGUUUUUUGAAGCAAUGCACUAUGGUAAUGUCAAAGCUGUAGCCCGCCAGUCAUUCUGGUUAGCCGCUGAAGAAUGAGGGAUUAUGCCUCGUUUGCGAGUGUGUUUGAAUUCAACGGAUUGUUGGUGAGGAGUGGGAACUUUGUUUUAACGUUAACCAGUUCGACAUUUUGCACUUUUUUAGCUAACGUUAGCUACAUUUGUCACCCAGGAGCUGUUUGUGAGCAGUGAAAAUUUUGUUUACACUAAUUCGACGGGACAUUUUUCACCUGUUAGCUACCUCUUAGCUAGCAAUACUUCUCAGUCGCAUGCAGCAGACACCGCCCAUCGUUGAGCCCCUACAAAUAGCGGAGGACAGGCCACGGGAGGGCUGCUGUAGCGGUCAACUAAAUCUGAUCCCUCUGAGCUCCCAGAGAAGCCAACCAUCAAAAUCAUCGCUAUGAUUGAGCUUGUACCAAUCCCAUCACCAACUAAAUCAUGUAGUGACACACCAAGGGAGGCUGACACUGAGAUCCUGUCCAAUUCCUAUUUGGAUGAAAUUUUUCUCUGGCCAAAGGGAUGUAACCGAUAAGGACUUGUACAGUGAAACUCCAGUGGGAAUCCUGUGCGUCAAUCAAGAAAAUCCUUGGUUCAACCCAUCCAUAGUAGGGAUCUUGGAAUGGAUUGUGGUGGUGGAUGAACUGGCCAACCUGCGUCAGACUUUCUGUGUCCUUUUUGGAUUCAUUUGUGCCCUGCACCUGAACCAUGAAAAACACUGUCUAUUUUAUCCAGCAGGUCAUGUUCAAACUAGGUAACAUAACCUAGAUAAGAUAUUUGAUUUUGUCCACAUCGCCCAGCCCUGUGUGAAAACUUCUCUCAAGACUGAACAACACAAUUUUGUUGUUGUAGCUGUUUCAAGCUUAUGAUUCAAGGUUGUUCAAGAUCUAUUAAAGCAGGGCAUCCAUCUUGUAACUCAGAAGGUACCAGUAGCUCUAUACUUGUUUCUGAGUAGCUCACCAGGCACUCAUUCACUAGACUGCGAAAUGCUAGUAGGAGCUAGGUUGUAAACCUCUGUUCAAAUAAUUAGAAAUAAACUUGCACAAGUUUUUCAAGGCAAGCCGUGAUGUUUCUUGACUGUCAUGUUCUAUUUUAAACUGAAACUUUGAAAUUGGAAUAGAAUGGGGAAAUGUGCUUU